GAUGAACGCUAGCUACAGGCUUAACACAUGCAAGUCGAGGGGCAGCACGGUGUAGCAAUACACGGGUGGCGACCGGCGCACGGGUGCGUAACGCGUAUCCAACUUUCCCGUUACUCUCGGAUAGCCUUCCGAAAGGGAGAUUAAUACGAGAUGGUGUUCAGUUUCCGCAUGUUUACUGAACUAAAGAUUCAUCGGUAACGGAUAGGGAUGCGUGACAUUAGAUAGUUGGCGGGGUAACGGCCCACCAAGUCUACGAUGUCUAGGGGUUCUGAGAGGAAGGUCCCCCACACUGGAACUGAGACACGGUCCAGACUCCUACGGGAGGCAGCAGUGAGGAAUAUUGGUCAAUGGUCGGAAGACUGAACCAGCCAAGUAGCGUGAAGGAUGAAGGUUCUAUGGAUUGUAAACUUCUUUUAUACGGGAGUAAAACCACCUACGUGUAGGUGCUUGUAUGUACCGUAUGAAUAAGCAUCGGCUAACUCCGUG
RNAcentral lists this ribosomal RNA (486 nucleotides) under uncultured bacterium. RNAcentral describes it as "bacterial SSU rRNA". It matches the Rfam family "Bacterial small subunit ribosomal RNA", at positions 28 to 507 of the family's 1533-position model. The record is from RNAcentral.